This 233-nucleotide ribosomal RNA is filed under the name uncultured bacterium. RNAcentral describes it as "partial 16S ribosomal RNA". It matches the Rfam family "Bacterial small subunit ribosomal RNA", at positions 103 to 334 of the family's 1533-position model. The record is from RNAcentral.
CGGGUGAGUAACACGUAUCCAACCUGCCGUCUACUCUUGGCCAGCCUUCUGAAAGGAAGAUUAAUCCAGGAUGGGAUCAUGAGUUCACAUGUCCGCAUGAUUAAAGGUAUUUUCCGGUAGACGAUGGGGAUGCGUUCCAUUAGAUAGUAGGCGGGGUAACGGCCCACCUAGUCAACGAUGGAUAGGAGUUCUGAGAGGAAGGUCCCCCACAUUGGAACUGAGACACGGUCCAA